AUGCCUCCUGCCCCCGCUGGCCAAGGUGACCACCACCCACGCAAGGUGCCCACGACUUCCCCAAGCCGCUCGCGCCACCCGCGCUCCCCCGCGGGGAGGGUUAGGGGAGCGCGGGGACCGCAAUGCCGGAGGCCGAGGACGCGGGGAUCGGCCAAGUGCCACUCCGCCCGAGGCCGAGGAGCACGUAAGCCACCCGGUCCCGAGUUCGCACCGGACGCGCCCACUCACCCUCCCCGUGGACCGCCCGAGGCUGGAAACGCACGACAAAAACGGAAACGGGCCUUCGACGCACGCUCCCGCUCCGUCUCACAGACUUCCGGCCGUUCUGGGCGGCUCGGAGGCUCGGCCGUCUCGGUGGUUCCCAGCGCAGCGGCCGGGGCGCGGGAGAAGGGGCGGGGCCAGAGAGUAGCGAAAGGCCUGGACCACGGGCGGGGCCCGGGAGGGGCGGGGCCAGAGUGGACGGAGGGGCGGGUCCGGGGGGGCUGUCUCACAGCCCCGGGAGGUGAAGGACACGCAGGCGGAAGGGCGGAGCGGAUCCCUGUGAAGCCGGUGGAAAGCCCGGGGGUCGCCCUGGCCGGGCCCCGCCUACCUCGGAUCACCUUUGGGGCACUGGUCCCCGCACCGCAUCUGUGCCUGGGCUUUUCUUACAGAAGGCUCCCGCUGGGCACGUUCCAGGCACCAGACAGCGGAGACCCCCGACCCGGGGCAGAGAGGGCACGGGGGAGCGGCCAGCUGGGGAGGAAUGAUUCUUUGGGAUCUAGGCCUGCUUGCUCAAAAGCUGGUGGAAAGAACCAAGAGGCCACGCACAGGAGCAGAGUUUACCUGAUCCCCGGACAGUGGCAAUGCUGCCUGAGGGGGUCAGGAGCUGGAAAUACUGGGAGCAAAAUGAGGGCCAGGGCCUCAGGGUGACAGGGCCUGUGCUCAGCCCAGAGAGGCUCGUCACAACCCCUCCUGGGCUCUCCACCUGCACCGUGUUCUUCCUGAGGCCCCAUCUCCUCCCUCUCCUGUCUGACUCCUUUUCUCCUACUUGGGCCCAAGUCCCUCAAAGGCAGAGCCUGUGAUGUUUCCAUUGGGCAUCUUUCCUGUGCUGAACAAGGACCCCAUGCCAAUAGAAGCUUGCUUGAAAAACUGACUAACCUCUGAGUCAACAAACUUAUUUUUCUUUAAAGGAAUGUACAAGUUGAAAACCAGGGUCUCCAGAAACAAAAUGGAUUUUUUUUACUCAGAACAAGAGUUCAAGCUUAAUUAGAAUGGAACCCAAAUAUGAAAAAAUAUGGCUGAAGUAGGACUCAGAGAUAUAUCUUUUAUAAAAUUCACUCUAUCAGAUGUCACUGACACUUUUGGAUUCUUUUCUAAGAGGAAAGCUGCUUCCUGUUAGUGUCCAUUGGAAUACUGCAAGUUAAAAAAAGUCAGAGCUCAUACCCAUUGGGGGGUUACAAUCAAAACAACAGAAAAUAACAAGUAUUGAUGAGGGUGUGGAGAAAGGGAGCCCUCGUGCCCCGCUGGUGAGAGUACCCCUCACGUGCAGCCACGGUGGAAACGUAUGGAGGCUCAUUAGAAGGUCACACACAAUUACUCUAUGGCCCAGCAAUUCCACUUCUGGGUAUAUACACAAAAGAACUGAAAGCAGGAUCUUGAAGGGAUCUUUGUACACCCGUGUUCAUUGCAGUAUUAUUUAUAAGAGCCAAAAGGUGGGAGCAGCCCGCAUGUCCGUUGAUGGAUGAAUGGAUCAGCCAGCAAAAUGUGUCGCAUCCAUGGAAGAUUCCUCAACCUUUUAAGAAGGACCGUCACGUCCUGCAGUAUAGAUGAGCCUGGAGGACAUUGCACUCUGAAACAAGCCAGUCACGAACGGACAAAUACUGUUUGACUCUGCUUAGAUGAGGUGCCUAGAGUAGUCAAAACUGUAGGGACAGAAGGACAGAAAGUAGAGUGGUGGUUGCCAGGAUCUGGGAGAAGGGGGAAGAGGGAGUUAUUGAUCAAUGGGGACAGAGUUUCAGUUUGGCAAGAUAAAAAGAGUUCUCAGGAUGGAUGGCUGUGAUGGGUGCACGAUAUGAAUAUACUUAAUACCACCGAACUCUACGCUUAAAAAUGGUUAAGAUGGUAAAUUCUUAUACUAUGCAUAUUUUAACACAGUAAAAAAAUUUGGAAAAAAAGGGCUGAAUAUUGGCCUUCUUCGUGUUUGGAGGACGGGUUCCUCUUCAAGUAGAUUCUUGGCUUACGGAGUGAGAAAACCACAUUUG
This is a long non-coding RNA of Ailuropoda melanoleuca (giant panda), 2240 nucleotides long. Lineage: Eukaryota; Metazoa; Chordata; Mammalia; Carnivora; Ursidae. The record is from Ensembl.